UAGGAUGUUAGUGUCAGUGCAUCCAGCCA
RNAcentral lists this non-coding RNA (29 nucleotides) under Mus musculus (house mouse). Lineage: Eukaryota; Metazoa; Chordata; Mammalia; Rodentia; Muridae. The record is from RNAcentral.